AGAUUGAACGCUGGCGGCAGGCCUAACACAUGCAAGUCGAGCGGCAGAGAGGUGCUUGCACCUCUUGAGAGCGGCGGACGGGUGAGUAAUGCCUAGGAAUCUGCCUAGUGGUGGGGGAUAACGUUCGGAAACGGACGCUAAUACCGCAUACGUCCUACGGGAGAAAGCGGGGGACCGUUCGGGCCUCGCGCCAUUAGAUGAGCCUAGGUCGGAUUAGCUUAGUUGGUGAGGUAUGGCUCACCAAGGCGACGAGUCCGUAA
RNAcentral lists this ribosomal RNA (260 nucleotides) under uncultured soil bacterium. RNAcentral's name for it is "partial 16S ribosomal RNA". It matches the Rfam family "Bacterial small subunit ribosomal RNA", at positions 26 to 286 of the family's 1533-position model. The record is from RNAcentral.